RNAcentral lists this ribosomal RNA (425 nucleotides) under uncultured bacterium. Its description in RNAcentral is "bacterial SSU rRNA". It matches the Rfam family "Bacterial small subunit ribosomal RNA", at positions 354 to 796 of the family's 1533-position model. The record is from RNAcentral.
GUGGGGAAUCUUAGACAAUGGGGGCAACCCUGAUCUAGCCAUGCCGCGUGAGUGAUGAAGGCCUUAGGGUUGUAAAGCUCUUUCAGUGGGGAAGAUAAUGACGGUACCCACAGAAGAAGCCCCGGCUAACUCCGUGCCAGCAGCCGCGGUAAUACGGAGGGGGCUAGCGUUGUUCGGAAUUACUGGGCGUAAAGCGCACGUAGGCGGAUCGGAAAGUUGGGGGUGAAAUCCCAGGGCUCAACCCUGGAACUGCCUUCAAAACUAUCGGUCUGGAGUCCGAGAGAGGUGAGUGGAAUUCCGAGUGUAGAGGUGAAAUUCGUAGAUAUUCGGAGGAACACCAGUGGCGAAGGCGGCUCACUGGCUCGGUACUGACGCUGAGGUGCGAAAGCGUGGGGAGCAAACAGGAUUAGAUACCCGGGUAGUCC